CAGCCGCCGCGGUAAUACCGGCGGCCCGAGUGGCGGUCACUAUUAUUGGGCUUAAAGCGUCCGUAGCCGGGUUGGGAAGUCCUCCGGGAAAUCUGGCCGCUUAACGGUCAGAAUGCCGGAGGAUACUCCCAGCCUAGGGAGCGGGAGAGGCCGAGGGUAUUCCCGGAGUAGGGGUGAAAUCCUAUAAUCCCGGGAGGACCACCUGUGGCGAAGGCGCUCGGCUGGAACGCGUCCGACGGUGAGGGACGAAGGCCAGGGGAGCGAACCGGAUUAGAUACCCGGGUAGUCCUGGCUGUAAACGAUGCGGACUAGGUGUCGGGCAAGCUAAGGGCUUGUCCGGUGCCGCAGGGAAGCCGUUAAGUCCGCCGCCUGGGGAGUACGGCCGCAAGGCUGAAACUUAAAGGAAUUGGCGGG
RNAcentral lists this ribosomal RNA (414 nucleotides) under uncultured microorganism. RNAcentral's name for it is "bacterial SSU rRNA". It matches the Rfam family "Archaeal small subunit ribosomal RNA", at positions 459 to 872 of the family's 1478-position model. The record is from RNAcentral.